GGCGUUUUUCGCUCAGGCGGAGCUCGACCGCCGACUGCGGUGAUCGUGGCCUACAUCGACACCUACCGGGCCCGCUUCGGCGUCGAGCCGAUCUGUACCGUGCUGUCCGAGCACGGCAUGAAGAUCGCGCCG
Molecule: regulatory RNA element, 132 nt
Organism: Intrasporangium calvum DSM 43043
Lineage: Bacteria; Bacillati; Actinomycetota; Actinomycetes; Micrococcales; Intrasporangiaceae
Rfam family: ALIL pseudoknot
Source: Rfam